Molecule: ribosomal RNA, 563 nt
Filed under: uncultured Planctomycetales bacterium
Lineage: Bacteria; Pseudomonadati; Planctomycetota; Planctomycetia; Planctomycetales
Description: bacterial SSU rRNA
Rfam family: Bacterial small subunit ribosomal RNA
Source: RNAcentral
UUCGAUGCAACGCGAAGAACCUUACCGGGACUUGACAUGUUAGAAGUAGGGACCCGAAAGGGCGACGAACGGUACCCAGUCCGUAACUUUCACAGGUGUUGCAUGGCUGUCGUCAGCUCGUGUCGUGAGACGUUGGGUUAAGUCCUAUAACGAGCGAAACCCUUAUCUUUAGUUUGCCAUCAGGUAAUGCUGGGGACUCUAGAGAGACCGCCGUCGUUAAGACGGAGGAAGGUGGGGAUGACGUCAAGUCAUCAUGGCCCUUACGUCCCGGGCCGCACACGUGCUACAAUGGCAGGUACAAAAGGAAGCAAGACCGCGAGGUGGAGCGAAACCGAUAAAGCCUGUCCCAGUUCGGAUUGGAGGCUGAAAUUCGCCUCCAUGAAGUUGGAAUCGCUAGUAAUCGCAGGUCAGCCUCACUGCGGUGAAUAUGUUCCCGAGCCUUGUACACACCGCCCGUCAAGCCACCCAAACAGGGUGUACCCGAAAUCGUUGGCUUAACCUUUCGAGGAGAGAGGCGCUGAAGGUACGCUUUGUGAGGAGGACUAAGUCGUAACAAGGUAACC